CCAUCCAGGGAUCCCAGACUUCUUGUUUCCUGAGACUGUUGUGCCCAAGAUUGCGAAUCCGAAAAACCAUGGAGAAGCCCACACCGAAGCAAACACACGAGGGUUUAUUUACAAGCUCGAGCUUGUGUCCAAGUAUACCUGACAGUGCGGAGCAGGGACUUUGACCCCGAGAGGAAGAAUCAGGGAUUCACCAGCUGGAGAUAACAGCAGUGCUCGUGACAUCACAUGACCUCCUUCAAGCAGGUCCCCUGUUAACCUCCCCGCCUCCAACGAUCAUCAGUUUGUUUCCUAUCAUUAAGAGUCAGUAUUUCAGAGAUCCCUGGG
Molecule: long non-coding RNA, 324 nt
Organism: Canis lupus familiaris (dog)
Lineage: Eukaryota; Metazoa; Chordata; Mammalia; Carnivora; Canidae
Exons: 3
Source: RefSeq, a predicted model, not a curated record